Molecule: ribosomal RNA, 1019 nt
Filed under: uncultured organism
Description: bacterial SSU rRNA
Rfam family: Bacterial small subunit ribosomal RNA
Source: RNAcentral
GAGGAAUAUUGGUCAAUGGACGAGAGUCUGAACCAGCUAAGUAGCGUGAAGGAUGAAGGUUCUAUGGAUUGUAAACUUCUUUUAUACGGGAAUAAACGAAUCCACGCGUGGAUUUUUGCAUGUACCGUAUGAAUAAGGAUCGGCUAACUCCGUGCCAGCAGCCGCGGUAAUACGGAGGAUCCGAGCGUUAUCCGGAUUUAUUGGGUUUAAAGGGAGCGUAGAUGGGUUGUUAAGUCAGUUGUGAAAGUUUGCGGCUCAACCGUAAAAUUGCAAUUGAUACUGGCAGUCUUGAGUACAGUUGAGGUAGGCGGAAUUCGUGGUGUAGCGGUGAAAUGCUUAGAUAUCACGAAGAACUCCGAUUGCGAAGGCAGCUUACUAACCUGUAACUGACAUUGAUGCUCGAAAGUGUGGGUAUCAAACAGGAUUAGAUACCCUGGUAGUCCACACGGUAAACGAUGAAUACUCGCUGUAGGCGAUAUACAGUCUGCGGCCAAGCGAAAGCAUUAAGUAUUCCACCUGGGGAGUACGCCGGCAACGGUGAAACUCAAAGGAAUUGACGGGGGCCCGCACAAGCGGAGGAACAUGUGGUUUAAUUCGAUGAUACGCGAGGAACCUUACCCGGGCUUAAAUUGCAACCGAAUAUGGCGGAAACGCUAUAGCUAGCAAUAGCGGUUGUGAAGGUGCUGCAUGGUUGUCGUCAGCUCGUGCCGUGAGGUGUCGGCUUAAGUGCCAUAACGAGCGCAACCCUUGCCGAUAGUUACUAACAGGUUAUGCUGAGGACUCUGUCGGGACUGCCAUCGUAAGAUGUGAGGAAGGUGGGGAUGACGUCAAAUCAGCACGGCCCUUACGUCCGGGGCUACACACGUGUUACAAUGGGGGGUACAGAGGGCUGCUACCACGCAAGUGGAUGCCAAUCCCAAAAACCUCUCUCAGUUCGGAUUGAAGUCUGCAACCCGACUUCAUGAAGCUGGAUUCGCUAGUAAUCGCGCAUCAGCCACGGCGCGGUGAAUACGUUCCCG